RNAcentral lists this ribosomal RNA (253 nucleotides) under uncultured bacterium. RNAcentral describes it as "partial 16S ribosomal RNA". It matches the Rfam family "Bacterial small subunit ribosomal RNA", at positions 524 to 776 of the family's 1533-position model. The record is from RNAcentral.
UACAGAGGGUGCGAGCGUUAAUCGGAAUUACUGGGCGUAAAGCGCGCGUAGGCGGCUUUUCAAGUCGAUUGUGAAAUCCCCGGGCUUAACCUGGGAACUGCAGUCGAGACUGUCUAGCUAGAGUAUGGGAGAGGGAAGUGGAAUUUCAGGUGUAGCGGUGAAAUGCGUAGAUAUCUGGAGGAACACCGAUGGCGAAGGCAGGUCUCUGGGCCACUACUGACGCUGAGAAGCGAAAGCAUGGGGAGCGAACAGG